Molecule: ribosomal RNA, 775 nt
Filed under: uncultured Neocallimastigales
Lineage: Eukaryota; Fungi; Neocallimastigomycota; Neocallimastigomycetes; Neocallimastigales
Description: partial large subunit ribosomal RNA
Rfam family: Eukaryotic large subunit ribosomal RNA
Source: RNAcentral
UCAGACGAUGCGUCAUGCAUAUCAAUAAGCGGAGGAAAAGAAACUAACAAGGAUUCCCUUAGUAACGGCGAGUGAAGCGGGAAGAGCUCAAAUUUGAAAUCUUCAAGGUUUUACCUUGACGAAUUGUAGUUUAAAGAAGUGUUUUCUGCUGAAGUUUUGGUAAAAGUUCUUUGGAAUAGGACAUCAUAGAGGGUGAGAAUCCCGUAUUUGACCAUUAUUUUCAGCUUUGUGAUACACUUUCAAAGAGUCGGAUUGUUUGGGAAUGCAGUCCAAAAUGGGUGGUAAAUUUCAUCUAAAGCUAAAUAUUGGCGAGAGACCGAUAGCGAACAAGUACCGUGAGGGAAAGAUGAAAAGAACUUUGAAAAGAGAGUUAAACAGUACGUGAAAUUGUCAAAAGGGAAGCGUUUGACACCAGUGUUGUUUUCUCGAAGAUCAAUUAAAAAUGGCUCGAUUUUGUAUUGCUUGAGACCUUAAAAGCUCACUGUACAUUUUUCGUGUCUUUUUUAGUGCACUUUUCGUUUAACAAGUCAACAUCAGUUUCUUUUGUUGUAAAAGGGUCAUUGGAAGGUGGCUUUCUUUUCGGAGAAAGUGUUUAUAGCCUCUGGCCUCUGCAAUCGGAGAGACUGAGGUCUGCAGCGUAGACUCUUCGGGGUUAGAUACAUUUGUGCUAAGUUAUAGCUUUUUAUAGACAAUUUGUUGACUAUGAUUAGUCUUGUAGCUUACUCGCUUAUGCUAUUUUACCUACGCUUAGGAUGUUGAGUCGUAGAGCACGCAG